AUUUCCUGCAAAACAUGUAGCCUCAUCUCAGAUGUCGAGCCAUCCCAUAAUUGGGAUAGUUGGGGAGUCCAUCCUGUUGCCCUGCAAACUGAAUUCAUCCACAACCAUUGAUCUACAAACACUCAAACUCUACUGGGAAAUUGAGCCAACUGACCAAGUUGUACAUGUCUUCUACAAUGGAGAAGAGAAGAACAGCCACCAAGAUGCGUUCUACAGAAACAGAACACAAAUCUUCCUGGACCAGCUUCCCUCUGGGAAUUUCUCCCUCUUGCUCAAAGAUUUAAAGGUGGAUGAUGACCAAACAGCGUUUUUUCUCUUUCAUCGUCAAGAAUACAAAAGUGGCCAUGAAAUUAUCCAGGAUAAGAAGUUGUGCCUCACCAAUGUAAAAGUAGCAAAAAGUUUCCAGACACCGGUUGUGAUGAUAAAUUAUGAAGACAGGAAGGCAGAAUGUUCUAGUACUGGGGGAUAUCCUGAACCUACACUGACCUGGACCGACCAGAACAGCGUUCUGGACCAGGACAUUCCUCAGAUCAUCAGGGUUCCAGAAAGUGGAACGUUUAACAUUUCCAGCACGGUGAACAUUACAGAGAAUCAGAUUCUGACGUGUGCCAUCUUCAACCCAACUCUGAAUGAGACCUUGAUCACCACACAGACAACCACCCAGAACACAAAUCCCUCAAACAAUGUUUCUGGUAUUGUUAUUGGUUUUGCUAUUGGAGCCCUGCUGUUUGUUGUCUGCAUUGUUGCCUAUAGAUAUAUAAAAUACCGUGGUGACAUAAGGUUAUGCUGUCAACAAAACUGACCCUUCUCCAAGCAGAAAUUGAAGAAUUGAAUCAAGAACAGUAACAAUCAGCAGCCAGACUCCUCCACUUAGGAUGAAGGCAAACUGUGUAGUUGGUUAGUGUCUUUGGUUGGUUGGUCUUUGUACCGGUUAAAAGCCUAGCAGCUGCAUUCUGGACAAGCUGAAGCAGGACAAGGAUGACUGACAGACUCCCAAAUACAAAGAGUUACAAUAGUCCAGGCGGGAGGAAACGAAGGGAUGAAUAAAUCCAAAUCCUUGAAAGUAAGACUGUUUCAAUUUGGCAAAUGGAGCUGGAAAAAGCUACCUCUGACAACAGCGUUGACUUGUUUAUCAAAUGAUUUCAGAAUAAAAACAUUAGAGAUUUUUGCAUUGUUAUGAACAUUGAUGGCUAGAGGCCCCAAGCUGUAAACAAUAACUAAGUACAUGGAUUGAUAGAGGCCCUACAUUAUUAACAAUAUCUAUGUACAUGGAUGGAUAGAGGCCUUAAGCUAUUAAUAAUAAAUCAGUUAUGGUUACAGACACUCCCCACCUCCAUGCACUUGUAUUUCGAAUGUAAUUAAUUUGCCAAAAAGAGAGAAAAUGAAACAAAGUUGAAGAUUAAUUUCUUUCUUUAGAUUUUCUAUAGAUUCCGCAAUAAUAUAGUUACAGUGAAUUAUUUUGGCCACGAUAAUCGUGUAGUGAAAAUCUGAUAUUGUGACAGCCCUAAUAGAGACCCUGCGUUAUUAACAAUAUCUAUGUACAUUGAUGAUAGAGGCCCUACAUUAUUAACAAUAACUAUGUACAUUGAUGAUAGAGGCCCUACGUUAUUAACAAUAUCUAUGUACAUUGAUGAUAGAGGCCCUACAUUAUUAACAAUAACUAUGUACAUUGAUGAUAGAGGCCCUACAUUAUUAACAAUAACUAUGUACAUUGAUGAUAGAGGCCCUACGUUAUUAAGUCUCUGGGGCCAACUUCUGUUUUAAAAAAAGGUUUAAAUAGCCAGUAUUGUAUGUCUCUAAAACAAUCAAAGGUUAAUUUCAGGGAUUUGUUGUCACCAAGUUUCAGGGGAAGGUAUUAUUGUGUCAUCGUCAUAGCAAUGGUAAGGGAUGUUAUAUUUCUAAAAGAUGGAGCCCAAGGGAAGCACAUAUAACAUGAUUAAACAAUAGGUCUUGGUUGAAAAACAAAAGGCUCAAAACGGCAGGAACAAGGAUCAGGCAACAUCAACAGCAACAAUAGCCAAUAGAAAACACGGAGCAGGAGGAACUUAAAGAGGGAGGCAAACGAGGGAGCAAAGAAGACACAGCUUAAGACAACAAUACAGAAGGCAAGCUACGUUCAAAAUCAAAGGACUGUGUUCAAUGGCCUGCACACCAUCCAUCUUUCUGCUACUAUAGUUUGCAGCAGAAAUGGAAGAAUUGAAUCAAGAACAGUAACAAUCAGCACCCAGACUCCUCCACUGAUGAUGAAGACAAACUGUGUGGCUGGUUUACAGUCUUCUGAGGAGUCUGUCAUUGGUACUAUAUUAGGUAACACUUCACAUUAUGUAAACAUGUAGUAAUACGGUUAUAAACAUGACUUAAUGAUUACAUGAAACAUCUAUAGACCAGGGUUUAUAUUACCCUUAAUAAACUUGAAUUAAUUACUUUCAUUUACAUUAAUUAAUGA
Esox lucius (northern pike) is the source of this 2446-nucleotide long non-coding RNA. RefSeq lists it as uncharacterized. The record is from RefSeq and is a predicted model, not a curated record. NCBI's taxonomy places the organism in Eukaryota, Metazoa, Chordata, Actinopteri, Esociformes, Esocidae. The transcript is spliced from 6 exons.